GCCAGAUGUGGUGGCAUAUGCCUGUAAUCCCAGCUACUUGGGAAGCCGAGGCAGGAGAAUCACUUGAAGCCGGGAGGCAGAAGUUGCAGUGAGCCGAGACUGCACCACUGCACUCCAGCCUGGGCAACAUUCGUCUCAAAAAAAAAGAAAAGAAUACAGGCCUGUAGAAGGAUUGCUUAAGCCCAGGAGUUCUGUAGUGUGUCAUACCAGUAGGGAAUCUGCACUAAUUUGGCAUCAAUAUGGUGACCUCCUGGGAGCAGGGGACCACCAGGUUGCCUAAGGAGUGAUGAACAAGCCCAGGUCAGAAACAGGUCAGGUCAAAACUACUGUGCUGAUCAGUAGUGGACUCACAACGGUGAAUAGCCACUGCCCUCCAGCCUGGGCAGCAUAAUGUGAGUGUAUUU
Non-coding RNA from Homo sapiens (human), 404 nucleotides. It matches the Rfam family "Metazoan signal recognition particle RNA". From Rfam's summary of the family: The signal recognition particle (SRP) is a universally conserved ribonucleoprotein. It is involved in the co-translational targeting of proteins to membranes. The record is from Rfam. NCBI's taxonomy places the organism in Eukaryota, Metazoa, Chordata, Mammalia, Primates, Hominidae.